Phyllostomus hastatus (greater spear-nosed bat) is the source of this 1330-nucleotide long non-coding RNA. RefSeq lists it as uncharacterized. Lineage: Eukaryota; Metazoa; Chordata; Mammalia; Chiroptera; Phyllostomidae. The record is from RefSeq and is a predicted model, not a curated record. The transcript has 3 exons.
GCCUUCCCCAGAGGGUUUGGGUGUUGCUGGGGAAGAGGUGACAACACCUCAGGAAAUCACAUUCCGAAGGCUUCUGCCGUAGAAGUAGACUCCUCACCCUGGCCUCGGUGUGGAGGUAGACAGGGUGUCCCUGGACUCAGACACCUGAAGGAUACCUGCAUGGGCCUGGUGGACACAGCAGUGGCCAUGGGGCCAUGGCAGCACCUGGGCAGAGCUGACUUGGAUCAUGAGCUCUGAUGAAGAACUGGAGCACAGAGAAGUCACUCAGCCAGCGGUGGGCAGGGCUGGAAUUUGGACCCAUCCAGGCUGCUCCAGGAUCUGAGGCUCCACCCUGAAGCUUGGGUCUUGCAGGGAAGGGGUGGGGCUUGCAAGGGGGCGGGGAAGACCCAUUUUGCUGCUGUAAGCAACAGUUGGGUAGUUCAAGUUCUAGCCCUCAGCUGAGUGGGAGGGUCUGCAAAAUUUGUCAGGAGCCUCAAAUGACAUCCCAAAGGAUUUGGGCUUGAAAUGGAGCAACAGAUUGGAUUCUCGGGCCACAGGCAUAGUUGGGCAAGACACACCUUGCUUGCUACUGAGAAUGUGGCCCAUGUGUGGAAUACCAGCAGCUUUACCUGGGAGUCUGUUACAAAGUCAGAACCUCAGGCCCCACCCAGACCUGUUAUACUAAGUCAGAAUUUACAUUUGAUUAUGUGAAAUCCAUCUGCUCUGUGAUCCUGUCCCUUGGGAUGACAGGGAGCAAGGCAACACUGGUGGUUCUGGGGCUCCUUUUCUCUAGUUUGUGCAGUUUCAGAGUCGUAGACAGUCCAGGAAAACCGGAGGCGGCUUCCAGGAGUCUGUCUACAGCGCCUUCCCUCUAGCUCCUGGGCCCAUCUUGCUCCAGAUAAAAGCCAAAGGCCUUACUUUGGCCGUGAGGCCAUGAGGACUGUGCUGGGCUUCCUGUCCAAGCUCGUCCCCCCGCCCCCCCCACCUCCCCUUACUCUCUCUGCUCUAGUCUCUCAGAUGCUCCGCUGUCCUUGAACUUGCCACCCCAGGAUCUUUGCACUACUUGUUCCUGUCACAAGUAUUCCCAUGGCCCUCCUUCACCCUGUCUUCAGGAAAUACCAUUUGCUGAGCAAGACCUUCACUGCCACCUACAAAGGAGAGCAGCAGCCUGCACUGCCCCACCCCCAUCACUCUGUCCCUCACCCUACUUCCUUUUUCUCGGCAGCUAUGGUUGUCUACAGAGUAAGCAAGUGUUUCAUAACUCAUGUGAUUGUUUUUCCAGCUCUCUCACUAGCAUGUGAAUGCCUCCAGCACCCAGAACAGCCCAGCCCAUAGUAGGUGCUCAAUAAAA